GGCAAACUGCGAAUACCGGAGAAUGUUAUCACGGGAGACACACGGCGGGUGCUAACGUCCGUCGUGAAGAGGGAAACAACCCAGACCGCCAGCUAAGGUCCCAAAGUCAUGGUUAAGUGGGAAACGAUGUGGGAAGGCCCAGACAGCCAGGAUGUUGGCUUAGAAGCAGCCAUCAUUUAAAGAAAGCGUAAUAGCUCACUGGUCGAGUCGGCCUGCGCGGAAGAUGUAACGGGGCUAAACCAUGCACCGAAGCUGCGGCAGCGACGCUGAUGCGUUGUUGGGUAGGGGAGCGUUCUGUAAGCCUGUGAAGGUGUACUGUGAGGUAUGCUGGAGGUAUCAGAAGUGCGAAUGCUGACAUAAGUAACGAUAAAGCGGGUGAAAAGCCCGCUCGCCGGAAGACCAAGGGUUCCUGUCCAACGUUAAUCGGGGCAGGGUGAGUCGACCCCUAAGGCGAGGCCGAAAGGCGUAGUCGAUGGGAAACAGGUUAAUAUUCCUGUACUUGGUGUUACUGCGAAGGGGGGACGGAGAAGGCUAUGUUGGCCGGGCGACGGUUGUCCCGGUUUAAGCGUGUAGGCUGGUUUUCC
Molecule: ribosomal RNA, 584 nt
Filed under: Escherichia coli
Lineage: Bacteria; Pseudomonadati; Pseudomonadota; Gammaproteobacteria; Enterobacterales; Enterobacteriaceae
Description: partial 23S ribosomal RNA
Rfam family: Bacterial large subunit ribosomal RNA
Source: RNAcentral